This 489-nucleotide ribosomal RNA is filed under the name uncultured bacterium. RNAcentral describes it as "bacterial SSU rRNA". It matches the Rfam family "Bacterial small subunit ribosomal RNA", at positions 28 to 507 of the family's 1533-position model. The record is from RNAcentral.
GAUGAACGCUAGCGAUAGGCCUAACACAUGCAAGUCGAGGGGCAUCACAUGAAGUAGCAAUACGGAUGGUGGCGACCGGCGCACGGGUGAGUAACACGUAUGCAACCUGCCUUCAACAAGGGGAUAACCCGUUGAAAGACGGACUAAUACCCUAUAACACAGGGGUCCCGCAUGGGAAUAUUUGUUAAAGGACAACCGGUUGAAGAUGGGCAUGCGUUCCAUUAGCUAGUUGGCGGGGUAACGGCCCACCAAGGCAACGAUGGAUAGGGGAACUGAGAGGUUUAUCCCCCACACUGGUACUGAGACACGGACCAGACUCCUACGGGAGGCAGCAGUGAGGAAUAUUGGUCAAUGGACGCAAGUCUGAACCAGCCACGUCGCGUGAAGGAAGACGGCCCUACGGGUUGUAAACUUCUUUUGCAAGGGAAUAAAGUGCCCCACGCGUGGGGUUUGCAUGUACCGUAUGAAUAAGGAUCGGCUAACUCCGUG